CAAUAGCGUAUAUUAAAGCUGUUGCGGUUAAAAAGCUCGUAGUUGGAUUUCUGUCAAGGACAACUGGUCCGCCCUCCGGGUGAGCACAUAGUUUGGUCUUGACAUCUUGCUGGAAGCUGUUGCUGCACUUGGCUGUGUGGCGCAGUGUUCAGCACUUUCACUUUGAGGAAAUUGGAGUGUUUCAAGCAGGCACAUGCCUUUGGACACAGUAGUAUGGAAUAAUUAGAUUGGGCUUUUGCUCCAAUUUGUCGGUUUCUGGAGCUGAGGUGAGUAUUAAUGGGGAUUGUUGGGGGCAUCCGAAUUUAGCCGUCAGAGGUGAAAUUCUUGGAUCUGCUAAAGACGGACAACUGCGAAAGCGUUUGCCCAGGAUGUUUUCAUUGA
This 381-nucleotide ribosomal RNA is filed under the name uncultured eukaryote. Its description in RNAcentral is "partial 18S ribosomal RNA". It matches the Rfam family "Eukaryotic small subunit ribosomal RNA", at positions 592 to 976 of the family's 1831-position model. The record is from RNAcentral.